Molecule: long non-coding RNA, 2673 nt
Filed under: Sorghum bicolor (sorghum)
Lineage: Eukaryota; Viridiplantae; Streptophyta; Magnoliopsida; Poales; Poaceae
Description: long non-coding RNA (SBIC_LNC012808)
Source: RNAcentral
GCUACCUUUAUUUGCUUUAGUAUAUGUCUAGGUUUGGAGUAGUUUCAUUUAUCUCCUAAUUAAGCAUGGUGCUUAGUUUAGGAAUGAUGAUCUUACUUCCAAGGGACCUUAAAUUAAGCAUGGUGCUUAGGUUAAAAUGCCCUCCUAAAUCAAAUUAGACAUGGUGUCUAGGUUGAUUUUUGAGCCGAUAGUAUGCUAUAGUAGAUAUUGGAUAUUUUGUUGGACUAACCCCUGCGAAAGGAAAGCUUCCACAAGGUGAUACUGUACCAUCACUCUUCAAGUAAGGUAACAUCUUAAGGUACCUGACUAUCACUUUUAUAAGCUUCUCCUUGGUUCUGGCGUCCACAUGAAUAAAAGAGACAAACAUGUAUGAUUUACAACUCUAGAUUAACCAACCCAAUCGAUUCAAUAUGUUUAGUCCUUCCACCUUUAUGAUCCCACACUCCAAAUCAUAUGAGCUAAAAUGUUGCACACGUAAUCUUUGGAAUAUAUAUAAAAAACAUAAGUAUAGAUAGAUUAUCUUUCUAUUAGGUUGAGCGAUCCGAUCUGACAAAUGUUUAAAAUGCUACACUCAUGAUCUUAUUAUCCAUCAACUUUGUCUUGCUCACUAUGUUUAAGGUUAGAGAAGAACAAAUACACUUUUGGUUCUGUUGGUGUUUUCCACCAACAGGGCCCAUGCAAUUGAUCUCUGCCUCGUAUCUAUGAGCAGGUACACUUGGAGCAAAACAUGGAGGUGUUUUACAACUCCUAGACUCCACAAAGUGAAGGACCUGGAUCUACGAGCACAAACAUACUGAGCAGGAUGCUGCCAACGCCGCACUUCGAACUGCUGGGCAAACGAAGAACAUGGGUGACACCGUAUCAAGAGGUGCAGACGUCAAGGUCCACACCUAAAUCAAAUGACGCACCUAAAGAAUGAACACGGUGAGAAGUCUUGUUCAGAUGACUUAAAACAUUGAACCCUCGCCGAAAGGUAAAAUCGGUAGUUAUCCAUAUUUAUCCUUUCAGCAUUCCCUUUUCCCUUAAAUUAUUUACUUUCGUUAAAUGGCUUGUUAGUUAAUCAUGCUAUCUUGAAAAGAAAAUAAAAAUAUUAAAAAUAGUAAGCCCCAUGUGAGUAUGCUCAUGGCAUAAAACCCAUAAGUACAUUCACUGUGGUGGCGUAAAAAUAAAAUAAAUAUAUUAUUGUCCUAUAAAAAUGAAAAUAUAAAAAUAAAUUUAUGAUCCUACCAAAGAGAGUAAUAUUUAUUAGAGGAAGCUCAACAUGAUAACGGCUAAGAGAUUUUAUGCUAACACUUAACCAGUUCCACAAAGCUUUGUUGUUUAUUUGAGCUCCACAGAAUUCAAGGAUCAAAGAAAAUUAGCAGACAAAGGACAUCCUGAUCGCUGUCAGGGUGCUGCUGACAUUCAAAUACACCUCCGCCACCUGCUAGCUAAAUCAGAAGAAAUUACGUCAAAAUCCAGCUUGCGGGAGAGCACCCGCAUUUAUCCACCUAAGUGUUCUACUCACGUUUAUACUUUACUCAAAUAAUAAAAUGAUGCAUGAUCAUAAAAGCCCAAAUAAAGAUUUUGUGCUUAUAUAUAUAUCUUUGCUUAGUUUGCUAAAUAUCGGUAGAAUAAAAUUAUUAACCAAUCCCUGUUAUUCCCCAUGAAAUAAAUGCUCAAGAUAUUUUGGUUACUACCACUUGCUACAUUAUUCUAGGAGGGUGAGUGCUCUGAAAAAAGUGAAUACGAGGAAAUAAAAAGGGGCAAGUGCCCGAAACCUCGAGAAAAAAAAGAGAAAAAAGUGAGACGAGGGGUAAAAAUGGACAAGUGUCCGACAGUAGAAUUAGGUGUACAAGAUACCCACCUGAGAGAAAAGAAAAAUAAAAUAUAGAGCAUCUCAUUCCACUCAAGAGCCUCAAGUGCAAGGAAGGUAUGUACCCCCUUAAAAGAGCAAAAGUAGAAUUAGACUUUAACCAUUACUUUCACCAUUAUCACCAUUCAUUCGCCACACAUGCACAUCUUGAUUUGACUUAUUGACUUGUUCUUCUGGAUCCAUGGUUUGACUAUGCAAUAAAUGUCUUGUAAGUAUGUAUUAGCUGUCUCCCACCUAUGAGCUCCAGAUAUCAAAACCUUAUUAGAGUAGGGUGAGAGAGAAGGCAAUGCCACUAUGCCUCAUACCAAAAAUACCACAUACUUUGAGAGAAGGCAUACACCAUUACUGCCUUGGUAAGGAUCCAUAAAUACCACAAAAGAGAGACUAGAGAGUCAUACAAGGAAUCUCUGAGUUUUAUUUGAAAUUCUGCAAAAACACCAGAGCUAUAGUUAAUAGAAGAACAAGAGAGAUGGUGCUUGACUAGACCGUUCUAUCUUUUAACUGCUCAAGACACAAGUGACGGUUGCAAGCCCCAUGGUGGAAGGUAAAAUGAGUAAGUUUAAAUCUUAACAGUUUACCCUAACCCAGAGAUGAGAUCUUGUUUGAACGCAUGUGUACCUUUAAGGCAUGAAACCAUUGCAGAAACUCUUGAGUCCAUCCUUGCUCAGGGACGAGCAAAGGUGUUGAUGCAAAAGCGGAUCUACAAACAUAAAGGGCUAAUACCCGAUUCAAACGUUAAGGCAUGCCAGCCGAUUUGACCUCACUAUCGGCAAAGGUGAUAACUCGAAUACUUUAGUCCUGACAACAGCGAUGCGCCC